CAUAUUGCUGAAGAGGAGCACCUCGCUGAGGGUGAGACGGGAGAACAGGUGGAAACUGAGCUGCUCAGUGAGACAGUAAGUGAAGGGCCUGAAACAAAAGAAGAAGAAACAGGAGAAGCUGUGGAUAGUGCAGCAGCGACAGAGAUAGGCAUACAGCUGCUUUCUGCAUUUUUACACAAGAGAAUCAAAAAUACUUUACAGUAAAAGACAUUUUUGGAAGCAACCAAUUGGAAGUCAUGCUUUUUACAUGGGUCAUCUUUAUAUAAUACACAAGCCUUAUCAGUGAUAACUUUACCCACUUUGGGAAGAAUGAUAGACUGUAA
RNAcentral lists this long non-coding RNA (323 nucleotides) under Zonotrichia albicollis (white-throated sparrow). Its description in RNAcentral is "lncRNA (ENSZALG00000013057.1)". Lineage: Eukaryota; Metazoa; Chordata; Aves; Passeriformes; Passerellidae. The record is from RNAcentral.